RNAcentral lists this ribosomal RNA (261 nucleotides) under uncultured archaeon. RNAcentral's name for it is "partial 16S ribosomal RNA". It matches the Rfam family "Archaeal small subunit ribosomal RNA", at positions 748 to 1009 of the family's 1478-position model. The record is from RNAcentral.
UAGCCGUAAACGAUACUCGCUAGGUGUCGGCCACGGUGCGACCGUUGUCGGUGCCGUAGGGAAGCCGUGAAGCGAGCCACCUGGGAAGUACGGCCGCAAGGCUGAAACUUAAAGGAAUUGGCGGGGGAGCACCACAACGGGUGGAGCUUGCGGUUUAAUUGGAUUCAACGCCGGAAAUCUUACCUGGACCGACAGCAACAUGAAGGCCAGGCUGAAGACUUUGCCGGAUUAGCUGAGAGGAGGUGCAUGGCGUAGACGUGU